UGUUCAAACGACUUACCUAUCGGAAGCUUAAUAUACGUCUAUGAUUUGUAGAGAGAGGAAGCCUGCAAUAUAACGUAGGUAAACUAUUGCGGUAAAAUUCCAGUCAUCGAGUCCUGAACGUCUACGAUUUCCGCAGCGAUAUUAGAUUAGUAGUUACAGUUGCCACAGACAGCAGUGAACAACGAUGCAGAGCAGUUCAGAUGACAGUGAGGUAUCCGCGGGGUCAGAUGGACGGCUACAUCGUCUGUUGGAACUCCUUCUAGCAACUGAUGGAAAUCGUGAGUGCUUCGACUGUCUUUCUCGAGGUCCGACUUGGACGUCGUGGUCGCUUGGGUUGUUUCUAUGCAUUCGCUGUGCGGGACUACAUCGGGGUCUUGGGGUUCACGUUUCGCGCGUUAAAUCAGUUGGACUCGAUCACUGGACACCUCAACAAGUAGCUCGUCUAGUUCAGAUAGGCAAUGAACGUGGCCGUACGAUUUACGAGUCGAAACUGCCUUCAAAUUUUCAUCGGCCGACUGACCUUAAUGAACUGCGAGCCUUCAUACAAAUCAAGAAUUUAAGAUAAAUAUACAAAGGACGAUAAAAACAGUUCUCAAUUGUCCACACAAAUGUUCGUCCACCCAGUACCUACAUCGAGUUUACGUGACACCCGGCUACCGAGAUCCACCUAUGCCGCCUUCCGAUUUGAGCAUUGAGCAGCUGGAAGCAAUCAUUGCAGAAUUCCUCAGGCAGUCAGCAAGAGCUAUCCGUGCCAUAGCACCAACGAAAGUUGCCGAAACGAGUCAGCAACGUCAUCAGAAGUUUUCAAGUGAUCUUGUCACGCUCGCAAACGACGAGAAGGUCCAGUCGCGAAACGGCGGAGCCGUAGAUCAAUAUGAAAGAAGGGUCAGGUUCCCGAUCAGCUCGACGAGCUCUACGCUGUUAAACGAAUCGACCCAAAGCGUCAUGAGUGAUCGACUGCUAAAGGAAAUACCUGGCACUGAUGAGGGUGAUCUGAUAGAAAACGAGACGCGUGUCGACGAAACGGCAGUUUUUCUGCCAAAUAUGGAUGAGGAUUGCGUGCUUAUUGAUCUCUAGGAAACACUAUCGCUUGUGGCACGAUCAUUCAUUUUGUUUUCAUUUUUUGAUUUUCUCACUUCUGUAAUAGAUUGUUUACUAGCUAUCACAAGCAACGAGAAAUUGCAGAAAGCCGAUUUCUGUUAGACUGAAGAAACUUAACGUGCACUGAACGUAACGGUGUACCUGAACAAAAGCAAAGAUAUACAUAAUAAUGGCUCCUGUAGGUUAUGCAGAAAAUAAUUUUAUAGCUAUGCCCAGUUUUCAUAGCUAACAAAGAUGCUCAUUUAUGUUUCAAAUAUGUCUUCUAGUGUCUUAUAUGCAGCUGCAUCGUUUACGGGUCAUC
Molecule: non-coding RNA, 1402 nt
Organism: Varroa destructor (honeybee mite)
Lineage: Eukaryota; Metazoa; Arthropoda; Arachnida; Mesostigmata; Varroidae
Source: RefSeq, a predicted model, not a curated record